UCUCCUAGUAACGGCGAGUGAACGGAGAUUAGCCCAUCACCGAAGUCUAUUCACGUUUGUGAACAGGACAAUGUGGUGUUCGGGUGUGCACCUGGGAGCGCUUGCCUACUCGAAGUCCAACACCGAUUAUGGCUUGGACCAUGCCCACAGCGGGUGAAAGGCCCGUACGGGUAGGCAUUGUUGUAUUUGAAGCGCUCCUCAGAUGUGCAUGCUCUCGAGUCGGAUUGCUUGAGAAUGCAGUCCAAAGUGGGUGGUAAACUCCAUCCAAGGCUAAAUACUGGCGCGAGUCCGAUAGUAGACAAGUACCGUGAGGGAAAGUUGAAAAGUACUCUGAAGAGAGAGUAAACAGUACGUGAAGCCGCUUGCAGGGAAGCUGGUGGAGUCAAGCUUCAUGCCUGUGAAUUUGUUAUCAGGAAGCUUUGUUGGUUGCAGGGACGUGAUACUAGUGAGCCUGGAAAUGGUUUGCCGCAUUUCAUCGUGUGGUUCAAGUCAUACUGGGUUGUCUGUUUGAACUGGUAUCAAUCGUUAUCCUCUUCCUGGUACUGAAUUUCACGCUUGGCAUACAUCACGAUCGAUACGACUUGUAAUGUGUGAUUGUUUAACUGCACUUUGGCGGGCAUUCUUGUUUGCCGGGUGCGGAACGGCAGGUGGCACGUAUGGGCCUCGUUGCUCGUGUCUUGCUUAUUGUGGAUUUCGAUCUGCCAACAAUCAUGUUGUUGUUCUUGUAACAUUAUCAGUCGUAUCGCCCCACUUGUGAGGUGCGCUCCUCGGAGCGUGACUCAGUGAGAAUCGUGAUGCUGAGGUAGACUUCCACCCGACCCGUCUUGAAACACGGACCAAGGAGUUUAACAUGUACGCGAGUCACUGGGCUCUUCAUGAAACCCAACGGCGCAAUGAAAGUGAAUGGUCACUUCUCGUGAUCUUAGGUGUGAUCCUGGGUUGGUCUCUACCGAGGCCCCUGGGCGCAACACCGGCCCGUCUCGUAAUGUUGUCGCGCUGGCCUUUGGUUGGCGCGCGUCAUUGCGGCGGAGCAAGAGCGUACAUGUUGAGACCCGAAAGAUGGUGAACUAUGCUUGCGUAGGUUGAAGCCAGAGGAAACUCUGGUGGAGGACCGAAGCGGUUUUGACGUGCAAAUCGAUCGUCAUACGUGAGCAUAGGGGCGAAAGACUAAUCGAACCAUCUAGUAGCUGGUUCCCUCCGAAGUUUCCCUCAGGAUAGCUGGCACUCACUUCGCGAAGCAGUUUUAUCCGGUAAAGCGAAUGAUUAGAGGUCUUGGGGACUAAUAGUCCUCAACCUAUUCUCAAACUAUAAAUGGGUACGAUGCUCAGCUCGCUUGAUUGGAGUUGGGCAUCGAAUGUGAGUGCCAAGUGGGCCAUUUUUGGUAAGCAGAACUGGCGCUGUGGGAUGCUCCGAACGUUCAGUUAAGGUGCCAAACCCGACGCUCAUGUGAUACCAGAAAAGGUGUUAAUGCAUUUAGACAGCAGGACGGUGGCCAUGAAAGUUGGAAUCCGCUAAGGAG
RNAcentral lists this ribosomal RNA (1519 nucleotides) under Dactylogyrus matlopong. RNAcentral describes it as "Dactylogyrus sp. m AAA-2022 partial large subunit ribosomal RNA". It matches the Rfam family "Eukaryotic large subunit ribosomal RNA", at positions 76 to 1278 of the family's 3401-position model. The record is from RNAcentral. Lineage: Eukaryota; Metazoa; Platyhelminthes; Monogenea; Dactylogyridea; Dactylogyridae.